RNAcentral lists this ribosomal RNA (20 nucleotides) under Melanoleuca sp. ANC M0181. RNAcentral describes it as "partial 28S ribosomal RNA". Lineage: Eukaryota; Fungi; Basidiomycota; Agaricomycetes; Agaricales; Pluteaceae. The record is from RNAcentral.
CUAACCUCGAUAGACGCUCC